Cryptomeria japonica (Japanese cedar) is the source of this 3493-nucleotide long non-coding RNA. RefSeq lists it as uncharacterized. Lineage: Eukaryota; Viridiplantae; Streptophyta; Pinopsida; Cupressales; Cupressaceae. The transcript has 2 exons. The record is from RefSeq and is a predicted model, not a curated record.
AGACAAUGAUAGGAGCUCAUAUAGACGUCUUAUGGUGAAUACGUGCACAAAAGGUGAACAUACAUGAUCAUAUCCUUGUAGAGUCAAUUACUUUAUAUAGAACGUCUUAUGGUGAAUAUGUGCACAAAAGGUGAACAUACAUGAUUGUAUCCUUUAGAGUCAAUUACUUUAUAUAGACCCUGAUGGCGAUAUAUUUUGAACAUUAGUACAUUUAUUUUACAUGUAUUUUGUGAAUGCUACAUACAUUGAGAUACAUGAUCAUUCCAGGGUUCACAUGUAUUUCUAAGUGGGGGUAAAAUGUAAUGGUGGAAUUUGCAUAACCAUGCUAUUUCCUAUUUAGUUUUGUGCCUAUAUUGAAGGGAGCGCUUUGAUACAUAGACUUAUUGUAAAAUGGCAUAAUCUUUUGCAAUUUCUAGUACCUUGCCAUAUGUUAUCCACCUACUUCAUUAUACCUUUCUAUAGACCCACCACUUAACCCCCUUUCACAUGUCCACACGCCUUUAUAGAUUUGCCUUCUCCACUUAUUUAUUACCUAUGUUCCAUAUAGUUUCUUGAUUGGGGUAUGGAUUUCUAGGAAUGAUUGCAUUGGACAUUAGCAAUGGUAGGUAGAGGUUUGGGGGUUGAGCCCCCAAUAGGGUUGAGAGGUAUUGCCCCUCAUGCAUUCCCUGUUACAUGGUGAGGUUGAGGGGCGGAGCUCACACUACCAAGCACAAAUUAAGGCCUUUGAAACAACGCAAACCUUCAUGGCAAAUAUCUUUUUCUCAAUUUUAUCGCUUUUGUUUUGCAAGACCAUGUCCUUACUAAUUCUGAAACUUAGAGGAGUGUUUGAAAUGAGGCUUAGAAGUUAGAUGCCUAUUUAUAAGUUUUUUUGAGUGCUUAGGGUUUGGGUGGAGUCCAUAGACCAUUAGGGUUAGGACUUGUGGCACUCAGUUAAAAACACUUUGAAUUUUAAAAAAAUGUUGAAUUUUUUAUUUUCUUGCCAUGGGGGACACUUGGAAGUCUGAAGGAUGGCUGGGAGGCUCCUCAAAAUCCCUUGGACGUCUCGGAGACCCCAAGCCAUCCUUGGGUCUUGAGUGGUGGUAGUGAGAUGGUAGGGGAAUAUGUCCCCCAAGUCCUUGAAUCUUGGAGACAUCCCUGCCCUGGAAACAUAGAGAUUUUGGGUGGGGGGCAGGAUGCGUCCUUGUCAAAUAUUGUUAAUUACUCGUACGGUUGAAUAUAUACCCAUGAACAUGCUGUCCAUAGUGAUUUGACAUCUUUUCUAUUCUAGGACUAGUUUAUGGUUGCAGUGUCAUCCUCACAGUUGUAUAUUCGUCCCUCCCUAAUUUAAAUUUUUAAAUUCAAAAUUGACAGAUUUCUCACUUUUACCAAUCUUGCCGAGGUGGACUAAAUGCUAGUUUGCAUGAUAUGUUGCUAAGUCCUUGUAUUUAAAGGCAUUCAAUGCAUUUGUUCUAAUCAUCUCUUAAUCAAGCAAUGAUUUGAAUAUCGUUUGCAUUUAUGGACUUUGAUUGGUGCAUCAAUAGGAAUCUAGUUCUGCACAAAUGUUUGAGGAGUAUUGCAUCACUGAAGAUUGUUGUAUUUGGUCAUUGUUUAAUUUUAGGAAUUGGUCUAAGGAAAAGCUCGUUGUGAUGUAAUGACAAUCCUUCAAGCUAUUUUAAAAUAUUGGUAGGUCCUUAGAUAUUCAGGAAAUGCACAGACGAAAUUGGGAGUGAUCAGGUGAAUCGGAGAAUAGAAGUUGAUGGAUCUCACUGGACAAGUUUGCAGGUGCAAGACAAGCCCACAGUUGUGGAUUCAUUACUGCAUAGUCACAACUGAAUAUUCUGUUUCUCAGGUGAUCCACAGUCUGUCAUCCUCUGUUUUAGAUCUCAGGGCGCAUCAGAUUCAGAUCCAUAUCAGUCCUAGAGACAUCCUUGAUUACCGAGCUAAGUACAUUUAUUUUUUAUUCACAUUACUGCAUUUAAUUAUCACAAGAUUAUUAAUCUCUGGCUGUCCGUUAUUUAUCUAGUCUGAUUUGUGUUUAUCUGUAUGCACUUGAGUGGAUUAGCCUAGGUUACUCAUAAGGAAGGUUUAUUUUCCUUUAAUCUCAUAUAUGGGUAUAAAUACAAUUCUCUUCUCUUUCUUUUAAUAUAAAUACGAUCAGAUUUUGGCUAACUGGAGUCGAGCUAGCAAACAGCCCAUGUAAAACACAAUCAAAUACUAGACAAAAUCAAUAAAUAGUAAUACCGUCAGUACUUUGAUUUUAUAGGUUCAAGUCCUUAAAACAGUUCUAUCUGAGUAAUAGACUCCUGCAUUUAGCAAAGUUUACAGCUUGUAGUAAAAUUUUAAUGCUGCUUUGAAUGGUAAGAAUUCAAACAGAUCAUAUUUGCUUCCCAAAGUGGCAGACUAAGACCAACUGAAAAUCAGUAAUCACCAUCCAUGUGAAGUCGAUAACCUUGCGAUUUAUAUACAUUUCUCUAAAGAUUCUUGGUGGAACUGGAAGACAAGCGGCCAAUAACUGAAAGAAUGUACACAGGUCCAAGACCAUGCUCCUACCUGCCAUCUCAUAUCCUGUUCAUGUGAAAGCACACUACCACAUGUCCUAGAGCUCAGAUUCAAAGUUAGGAACAAAAAGUUUGGGACUGGUGGACUUUAACUUCUUAAUUGGUCUUAUGGGUAUUUAUUUGUUUUAAUAAGCAAAAGAGGGAAUGUCCUAGGCAAUUUGGGUGAUGUCUCCAUUAUUGUUAGAUGUUAAUUGACCUUUUUAUGCUCAGUUUCUGGUGAAUUGUAUGUCUCUCAGCUGGUAAUUGAAGACUGGAAACCUAUGCAUCACAUUACUUGGGUUUGCAUCAUCACCAAGCCAUUUUGGGGAAUCAUAAAUGACCGAACCUUUGGCAUGGGCAACUAUAAAUAAACGUGAUCAUAGAUUUUCAUUGCUUGAAGAUAUUGUAACGAAGUGCACAUAAUGGUCAAAGAAUCUGUUAUGGUUGCCUUUGUGAGGUUACAAAUUUGUCGUGUUACAAGAAGUAAUGAAAAUUUCAGACAAGUUACUGCUGGUAUGUACAAAGGCAACAACUAUUCGGCAAAUUACUGAAUUUAACAAGUUCCAUGGAGAUGCUCUGGAGAGAUUUCUUCAAUUUUGUUGUUGUUGAAGGUACCUAGUGUUAAGGGACCCUAGAUCCAAGAGUUAGCAAGCUGUUAACAUCUGGUUGGCGUUAGCUAACCAACUACGAAAGUGAAUGUAAACAGAUCCAGAUUUCAGACAAUUGCAAUUAUUUUCAGCUGCCACAACUGGUAAAAUGAUUCUCACCAUGGUCUGCCUCCUCCAACUGACUGAGGAUAUGAAUUCAGGAAAAGUAUCUGUCACCUGAAGUGCAGGAUGAGGGAAAGGCUAUGAUUCCUCUCAAAUCAGAUAGCUAUUUAAAAAUUUAAAGUUUUGUGCAGAAGUAAAAACAACAGUAAAGAAAGAAAAGAGACAUAGCAACAGAUAAAAUAAAAAUAAAAUUAUAAUUUCUUGUUA